Molecule: long non-coding RNA, 1281 nt
Filed under: Monodelphis domestica (gray short-tailed opossum)
Lineage: Eukaryota; Metazoa; Chordata; Mammalia; Didelphimorphia; Didelphidae
Description: lncRNA (ENSMODG00000045361.1)
Source: RNAcentral
GCCUUCCUUUUAAUUUUUUAAUCAAUAAAAAUCUAUCUUCUCUCCUUCCCCCCUCCUUCCCACUGAGAAGGAAAAAACAACAAUAACAACUUCUCCCCCACUUACAGGCACAUAUAUUCAAGGAAAACCAACCUUUGAUUGGCUGCUUACAAAAAGAAAUGUGUCUUAAUUUACAUUUCAAAUUGGGAGUCCUGGAAUCAGGGCGGGUCAUCAUGUUGAUCAGUUAUAAUGUAUUUCAAAGUUAUUUGCUUUUACAAUAAUAUUGUUAUUGUAUAAUUUUUUUCCUGGCUUGCUUCAUUUCAUCUUGCAUCAGUUCAUAUAAAUCUUCCCAGGUUUUUCUGAAACCAUACUCUUCUUCAUUUCUUAUGCACUAUAAUAUUCCUUGACAUUCAUAUACCAAAACUAAUUUAGACAUUUUCCCACUGAUGGGAACCUCCUCAAUUUCUAAUUCCUUGCCAUCACAAAAAGCGCUGCUACAAACAUUUUUAUUCAUUGAUGUUCAGUCAUUUCAAUCAUGUCUGACUCUGUGACUGCAUUUGGGAUUUUCUUGGCAAAGACCCUGGAAUGGCUUGUCAUUUCCUUCUCUGGUCAUUUUACAGAUGAAAAAAACGAGGCAAACAGAGUUAAGCCCAGGGUCACAUAGCUAGUAAUGUCUGAGGCCAGAUUUGAACUCAGAAAUAUGAGUCUUCCUGACUCCAGAUUUGGCACUCUAUCUACUCAGCCACCUAGUUGCCCUUUUUUAAGGGAUCUUUUUCCUUCUUUUUUUUUCUCUUUUUGAAGUACAGAUCUAAUAUUAGUAUCAUAAGUUAAAAGGUUUAUACAGUUUUAUAACUUUGGUGGCAUAGUUCCAAAUCACUUUCCAGAAUGGUGGGAUCAAUUCACAGUUAUACCAAUAGUGUCUUUAUAUAUCUGCUUUUCCACAGACCUUUCAGCAUUUUCUUUUUUCUUUCUUAUUUCUUUUUUUUUUGUUUUUUUUUUUUUUUUUUUUUUAAUUAAAAAAAAAUUUUUUUAAGACAAGGUAAAUGUUUUUGUUUUUGUAUUUUUAAUGAGAGAAGGUUCACAGACCUCUCAGAAUUAGAUCUUCCUAGUUCUAAAGCACUACAGUUGUUUUACUAAGUGGUUUAUAGGGAUGGGUAACCAUCCAGCUCUAAGUUUUUUGACAACUAAGACCAAAAGAAAAAUACAUCAGAUUACAUAGUUUUCAUUUUCUCACAACAACAACAAAAAGACACAAAUUAUCUGCAAAUACAAAUUCUUUCUUAGCUGCCAUUAUUCAUGUUG